RNAcentral lists this ribosomal RNA (429 nucleotides) under Bacillota bacterium. RNAcentral's name for it is "Firmicutes bacterium partial 16S ribosomal RNA". It matches the Rfam family "Bacterial small subunit ribosomal RNA", at positions 355 to 776 of the family's 1533-position model. The record is from RNAcentral. Lineage: Bacteria; Bacillati; Bacillota.
UAGGGAAUCUUCCACAAUGGACGCAAGUCUGAUGGAGCAACGCCGCGUGAGUGAAGAAGGUUUUCGGAUCGUAAAGCUCUGUUGUUGGUGAAGAAGGAUAGAGGUAGUAACUGGCCUUUAUUUGACGGUAAUCAACCAGAAAGUCACGGCUAACUACGUGCCAGCAGCCGCGGUAAUACGUAGGUGGCAAGCGUUGUCCGGAUUUAUUGGGCGUAAAGCGAGCGCAGGCGGAAGAAUAAGUCUGAUGUGAAAGCCCUCGGCUUAACCGAGGGACUGCAUCGGAAACUGUUUUUCUUGAGUGCAGAAGAGGAGAGUGGAAUUCCAUGUGUAGCGGUGGAAUGCGUAGAUAUAUGGAAGAACACCAGUGGCGAAGGCGACUCUCUGGUCUGCAACUGACGCGGAGGCUCGAAAGCAUGGGUAGCGAACAGG